UGUGAACUCGAAGAGUAGGGCGGGACACGUGGUAUCCUGUCUGAAUAUGGGGGGACCAUCCUCCAAGGCUAAAUACUCCUGACUGACCGAUAGUGAACCAGUACCGUGAGGGAAAGGCGAAAAGAACCCCGGCGAGGGGAGUGAAAAAGAACCUGAAACCGUGUACGUACAAGCAGUGGGAGCACCUUCGGGUGUGACUGCGUACCUUUUGUAUAAUGGGUCAGCGACUUAUAUUCUGUAGCAAGGUUAACCGUAUAGGGGAGCCGCAGGGAAACCGAGUCUUAACUGGGCGUUAAGUUGCAGGGUAUAGACCCGAAACCCGGUGAUCUAGCCAUGGGCAGGUUGAAGGUUGGGUAACACUAACUGGAGGACCGAACCGACUAAUGUUGAAAAAUUAGCGGAUGACUUGUGGCUGGGGGUGAAAGGCCAAUCAAACCGGGAGAUAGCUGGUUCUCCCCGAAAGCUAUUUAGGUAGCGCCUCGUGAACUCAUCUUCGGGGGUAGAGCACUGUUUCGGCUAGGGGGUCAUCCCGACUUACCAACCCGAUGCAAACUACGAAUACCGAAGAAUGUUAUCACGGGAGACACACGGCGGGUGCUAACGUCCGUCGUGAAGAGGGAAACAACCCAGACCGCCAGCUAAGGUCCCAAAGUCAUGGUUAAGUGGGAAACGAUGUGGGAAGGCACAGACAGCCAGGAUGUUGGCUUAGAAGCAGCCAUCAUUUAAAGAAAGCGUAAUAGCUCACUGGUCGAGUCGGCCUGCGCGGAAGAUGUAACGGGGCUAAACCAUGCACCGAAGCUGCGGCAGCGACACUAUGUGUUGUUGGGUAGGGGAGCGUUCUGUAAGCCUGCGAAGGUGUGCUGUGAGGCAUGCUGGAGGUAUCAGAAGUGCGAAUGCUGACAUAAGUAACGAUAAAGCGGGUGAAAAGCCCGCUCGCCGGAAGACCAAGGGUUCCUGUCCAACGUUAAUCGGGGCAGGGUGAGUCGACCCCUAAGGCGAGGCCGAAAGGCGUAGUCGAUGGGAAACAGGUUAAUAUUCCUGUACUUGGUGUUACUGCGAAGGGGGGACGGAGAAGGCUAUGUUAGCCGGGCGACGGUUGUCCCGGUUUAAGCAUGUAGGCUGAUUGUCCAGGCAAAUCCGGAUAAUCAAGGCUGAGGUGUGAUGACGAGGCACUACGGUGCUGAAGUAACAAAUGCCCUGCUUCCAGGAAAAGCCUCUAAGCAUCAGGUAACAUUAAAUCGUACCCCAAACCG
RNAcentral lists this ribosomal RNA (1253 nucleotides) under Klebsiella pneumoniae. RNAcentral describes it as "partial 23S ribosomal RNA". It matches the Rfam family "Bacterial large subunit ribosomal RNA", at positions 398 to 1656 of the family's 2925-position model. The record is from RNAcentral. Lineage: Bacteria; Pseudomonadati; Pseudomonadota; Gammaproteobacteria; Enterobacterales; Enterobacteriaceae.